Rhinolophus ferrumequinum (greater horseshoe bat) is the source of this 78-nucleotide small nucleolar RNA. The record is from Ensembl. NCBI's taxonomy places the organism in Eukaryota, Metazoa, Chordata, Mammalia, Chiroptera, Rhinolophidae.
GAUCAGUGAUGAAAACAUCCAAAUCUGAGCAUAAGAAGACCUUCAAGUCUACCUGAUACAUGAUCUCUAGUUCUGAGA